GUAGGUGGCAAGCGUUGUCCGGAAUUAUUGGGCGUAAAGCGCGCGCAGGCGGUUCUUUAAGUCUGAUGUGAAAGCCCACGGCUCAACCGUGGAGGGUCAUUGGAAACUGGAGAACUUGAGUACAGAAGAGGAAAGCGGAAUUCCACGUGUAGCGGUGAAAUGCGUAGAGAUGUGGAGGAACACCAGUGGCGAAGGCGGCUUUCUGGUCUGUAACUGACGCUGAGGCGCGAAAGCGUGGGGAGCAAACAGGAUUAGAUACCCUGGUAGUCCACGCCGUAAACGGUGAGUGCUAAGUGUUAGGGGGGUUUCCGCCCCCUUAGUGCUGCAGCUAACGCAUUAAGCACUCCGCCUGGGGAGUACGGCCGCAAGGCUG
Molecule: ribosomal RNA, 373 nt
Filed under: uncultured organism
Description: partial 16S ribosomal RNA
Rfam family: Bacterial small subunit ribosomal RNA
Source: RNAcentral